RNAcentral lists this ribosomal RNA (484 nucleotides) under uncultured bacterium. RNAcentral describes it as "partial 16S ribosomal RNA". It matches the Rfam family "Bacterial small subunit ribosomal RNA", at positions 28 to 523 of the family's 1533-position model. The record is from RNAcentral.
GAUGAACGCUGGCGGCGUGCCUAACACAUGCAAGUCGAGCGGUAAGGCCCUUCGGGGUACACGAGCGGCGGACGGCUGAGUAACACGUGGGAACGUGCCCCAAAGUGAGGGAUAAGCACCAGAAAUGGUGUCUAAUACCGCAUAUGGUCUUCGGAAUAAAGUAUUUAUACGCUUUGGGAGCGGCCUGCGUACGAUUAGAUUGUUGGUGAGGUAAAGGCUCACCAAGUCGACGAUCGUUAACUGGUCUGAGAGGAUGAUCAGUCAGACUGGAACUGAGACACGGUCCAGACUCCUACGGGAGGCAGCAGUUGGGAAUUUUGGACAAUGGACGCAAGUCUGAUCCAGCCAUUCCGCGUGCAGGAUGAAGGCCCUCGGGUUGUAAACUGCUUUUGUACGGAACGAAAAGGUCUCUCUUAAUACGGGGGGCUCAUGACGGUACCGUAAGAAUAAGCACCGGCUAACUACGUGCCAGCCGCCGCCGUAA